UUCAUUUUCAUAUCAUUCUGCUUUUCUAUGAAAAUGGAAAGAACAAAAUGAUGAAAGAAAACUUGUUCUGAAUUAUUUGAUAACAGUAACUUUAUAUUGGUUAGUACUUAUUCAACAAGACUAGUAUCACUAAGUUAGAAUGAAAUUGAAGGUGGCCAAAAAAUAAAUAUGUUGUUUUCCCUUUCACCACCUUGCAAAAGAGUUAGAAGUAGAACAAUUUAAUUUUUCCAAAAUGUAUCCCUUUGAACUGAGACACCCUGCUUUUGUAAAUAUGAAAUGUGAAAACAUAUUGAAGUUUGAAGGGUUUUACACAUUGUUUAUAUUAGAUAAUAACUGGAAGUUCAGACAUAAUAUACAUGUAUUAGAAAGUUUUGAGAACCAAAAAUCACAGAGCAGGUACUUGCAUUUGGUUUUAUGUGAAGACAUUCACACAUUUCUCGUUAUUACAAUUAAUUUAGCUUCAUUGUAUAUGUUUGUCCAAGCUUCAACUAUAAUGUUAUGUUUUCUUUUUAUAAAUAACAGAUAUUUAAUUGAUGGGGGUCUCCAGCAAUAUCAUAUAAAGUGCUUAUAAACUCUCACCUUAGAGCUUCAUGACUUGGUGCUAUAAUUUGUGUGAAUAACCAUAUAUAAUUCAGCAUUUGUAGAUUAAUUGUAAGAUAAUCAUUUUUAAACAUAUAGCAUCUUUUUCUCCAACUAUGUGCAAAGGUCAUCUGUAUUUGUGGACAAAAUUAUUGUAUUAUUCAUCUGUCAGUGUCCAUCUGACCUGGACUUUUUUUUCUCUGUAACUGAUCAAUGUUAAGUUUCUGUAGUACCUUUAGUAAAACCAAAGGAUCAAUUUCACAAAAAAUUUUGGAAAAAUACUCAAGUCAUGACCGUUUCAGUAUAACUUGCAAUCAAUUUUUGUUAUAUUUUUUUGUGAAACUGUUUUUACUUUGUAAAAUUCAGACAUGAUCAGUAAAGCAGGCAAAGAUUUUUGUGUGUACUUUCUGGAUUAAAUAAAAAACACAUGAAAUUAUGUUAUAGAAUUUAUGUUUGUAUCCUUGCAGUUGCUUUUCUAUGGGCAUUACAAUUGAAAAAGGGAAACACAUAUUUAGAAGAAAAAUGACGAUUGGGGCAAACUGAUUUUUUGGAGCAAGAAAAUGUUAAAUAUUUUUGCCAACUUGGAACAGAUUGGUUUUUUUUGUCGAGCCUGCAACUUUUGUUGCAGAAAGCUCGACAUAGGGAUAGUGAUCC
RNAcentral lists this long non-coding RNA (1233 nucleotides) under Mytilus galloprovincialis (Mediterranean mussel). Lineage: Eukaryota; Metazoa; Mollusca; Bivalvia; Mytilida; Mytilidae. The record is from RNAcentral.